UUGAUGGGAUAUGGUUCAGUUCCUGCCUCUUUUUGGGUUGUGGAGAUUGGGAACAAAGGAGAUUAUGGCUUGCAAUAGUAAAGCUGGAUUUCUGUGAACUAACUGCUAGUGGAUCUGGAAGUCACCAGCAAUGAGCGGUAGAAACUAUAUCAUUAUCAUUUUCUACUCCAACAAAUGCCAAGCUAAUAGGUCCUGCUAGCUGGACUCACUGUGGAUUUUGUGGUACAGUAGGGAAGCAUGCUUCUUUUCUGUCCAAUGGCGUCUUGGAAACCUAUUAUAAUUCUUUAGUUGAGAUUUUUUUUUCUCCAUUUUGUUUGGUAUUUUGUUUUGGUGGGA
Molecule: unclassified non-coding RNA, 336 nt
Filed under: Hevea brasiliensis (rubber tree)
Lineage: Eukaryota; Viridiplantae; Streptophyta; Magnoliopsida; Malpighiales; Euphorbiaceae
Source: RNAcentral